GACGAACGCUGGCGGCGUGCUUAACACAUGCAAGUCGAACGAAGUUGCUCUUUGUGAAGCCCUCGGGUGGAACUGUGAGUAUACUUAGUGGCGGACGGGUGAGUAACGCGUGAGCAAUCUGCCCUGCAAUGGGGGACAACAGUUGGAAACGACUGCUAAUACCGCAUAAGACCACAGUAUCGCAUGAUACAGGGGUAAAAGGAUUCAUUCGAUGCAGGAUGAGCUCGCGUCCCAUUAGAUAGUUGGUGAGGUAACGGCCCACCAAGUCAACGAUGGGUAGCCGACCUGAGAGGGUGAUCGGCCACAUUGGAACUGAGAGACGGUCCAA
Molecule: ribosomal RNA, 328 nt
Filed under: uncultured bacterium
Lineage: Bacteria
Description: bacterial SSU rRNA
Rfam family: Bacterial small subunit ribosomal RNA
Source: RNAcentral